This 226-nucleotide ribosomal RNA is filed under the name uncultured bacterium. RNAcentral describes it as "partial 16S ribosomal RNA". It matches the Rfam family "Bacterial small subunit ribosomal RNA", at positions 524 to 744 of the family's 1533-position model. The record is from RNAcentral.
UACGUAGGGUGCGAGCGUUGUCCGGAAUUAUUGGGCGUAAAGAGCUUGUAGGCGGUUUGUCGCGUCUGCUGUGAAAUCUCAAGGCUCAACCUUGAGCUUGCAGUGGGUACGGGCAGACUAGAGUGUGGUAGGGGGAGACUGGAAUUCCUGGUGUAGCGGUGAAAUGCGCAGAUAUCAGGAAGAACACCCCGUGGCGAAAGGCGGCUCUCUGGAAACGCAAACUGAC